AUCACGUGUGAGACUAUACAGUAGACUAACGAUACUUUUGAUGAGUAUUAUUAAAAUGUAGGCUUUCUAAGCGUGUUUUAUGCUUUGUUUAUAGAAAAAAAAAGUAGCCUGAAGAUGAGAAUAGGUCUGGCAAAGUUUUAAUCUGAUGCUUCAUGGCCAUGGAAUACUGUUUCUUACUCUCUUUUUCUCUCAUUGGUGUCUCCAGAUAGUUAAAUUCACCUCUUUUUUUUUUUCCUAAUUUCAGGCGCUAAUGCACCUGCUGAUGUGGACAGGAUUCUGUCUUCACUACUCAAGUUAUGCAGCACCUUAGUUAUGGUUCCAUGUAAGUUCAGUACACCCUCUUGGGCAUUUGAUGGAUGCUAAUUGCAAGUAGUUAUUGAUAUAGGAGAUUAGUACCUUGCUUAUGUUCAACAUGAAGCACCACCUUGAUAUUUGUCUGUUUAUUUUUUUAAUUUUGUCAAUGGAUGUCAUGCUUUAUACUGUGGAUGAGAAGGCAAAGAACUUUAAAUUCAACCAAGGAUGGAUUGUGAAUCAGCAUGUUCCUUGGCUAACUAAAGUGAAUUUGAACAUUUGGUUUCAAGCUGAAUAAUCGCUUCUCUCCUCAUACCCUUGUGGGUGUUCUGCACCGGACCGCCUCUAUUUCUUCUUAGAUCUUUCUUUCUUCGUUGAAGGCACUCAUGGAGAAGGAGCUUCUCGAAUAGCCCGGACCUUAUUUUCUGUUGUUGAUUCUCGGUCAUGGUAAGCGCUUCCAAAUCCAGUGGUUGCCCCCCAUUAAAGUUGCUAGUUUCUGACCCAUGAGCUGCCAUAUCAGGGCGACGCUGGUGGUGAGAGUAAAGAUGCUGUGCGCAAUCAUCCAUCUGUUGGCAACCCUUUCGCAGAAGGAGCUUCCAUACCGACCAAGUAAUGGAGAGGUAAGAUUCCCUCAUAUACCUGAAGGAUGUAUGUAGGAACAGGGCCCCAUGCCUCACUCAUGCACUAGGCCCAUGCCCGAAGAUGGCUGAUGCAAGUUCAGGCUAAGCUCUCUCUCUCUCUCUCUCUCUCUCUCCUGAUGUGGUUCUGAAGCUCAAGUUUUGAGAUGACCAACCUUCACCGAGUUGCGAGCUAGCUCAGCAUCGUUUCAUUUAAUUACUGCACUCUGCUGCCUGUCUAAUAUGCACAGGCUGUGGGAAAUGACCUGCUCUUCCUCGGGGAUGCAUCAUACAAGGAGGAUCUGGCAUCGACCUCUGAUCUUGCGGCUCGAGACCUGGUGGAGAGGAUCGAGAGAGAGCCCAGCACGGUAAAAUCAAAAUCCGCUCUCUGCCCGUCUCUUCACCGCUGUCACUGUCUCCGUUCCAUGCCUUCCUGACGAAUUUUCUCCCCCCUCCCCCCAUCAAGGGUAUGCUCGGAAAACUGGCCCUCGAUGCAUGCAAUUGCCUGGCGAUAUCCUUCGAAGUAGGUCCCAUUUUUCGUAUCCCAUAGCAUCAGUAUCUUGAAGCGCGCGUCAUGCAGCCAGCUUGUCGUGCAGGCCAGCGAGGGGCUCUCGUCGAUGUGCUCCCGGCUGAUGAAGGUGGCUCGACCAUGUCUUCACCCCCAGGACAAGUACCUGCAGUCUACAAUAGCUUUCCUCAACGGUCGUCUUCCCGGGUCUACAAUGGGCGAGACUCUGUGAGAGAGCCAGCUUCAGGCUGGCUGUUGCUUCUCUCUUUUUUCGAGUCGGCAGAGAUUCUAUCGAGCAAGCGAUUCAUUUUUGUGAUUGAUGAUGUUCUAACUCUGCGCGGCUGCUGCUGUUGCUGCUGUUGCUGCCGCUGCUGCUGCUGCUGCUGCGGGGGUGGUUUCCAGCCAGCUACAGCCAGCCGUCUUCUUCACCCCGGCCCUCUCCAUGCUCUCCUUCAGCCGGGCGGCGGAGCCCCACAUCCCCACGCCGGCGUAGGUGUUCCACAGGACCGCGUACCUUCCGGCGUGCCCCGGCUGCAGCGCGAGCAGCCGCGCCCCGCCACCGCCGCCAGCGCGGCGUUCCCGUGCAGGCGGCAGGCUCCCAGCAGUGCCCCCCACACGGAGGCGUCCGCCGCGAAGGGCAUCCCCUCUAUGAACUCCGCCGCCUCGUCCAGCAGCCCCGCCCGCCCCAGAAGGUCCACCACACAGCCGCAGUGCUCCAUCGCCGGCGCGAUCCCGUGGUCGCGCGACAUCGACGCGAACAGCGCCAUGCCCGCGCCGACCAGGCGCGCACGCGCGCAGGCCGUCAGCACGGCGACGAAGGUAACCCCAUUGGGCCGCACCCCCUGCGCCGCCAUCGCGUCGAAGAGCCCCAGCGCUCGGGUCUCCUCCCCGUUGCAGGCCAGCGCCGAGACCAUCGCGUUCCAGGUGCAGACCUCCCUCUCCGCCACCGCCUCGAACACGCUGGCGGCGCAGCGGACCCGCCCGCGCUUCCCGUACAUGUCCACGAGAGCCGUGCCGAGGAAGGCGGUCAGCCGGACUCCGCGCCGGAGGAUGUAGCCGUGGAGCUGCUUCCCCGCUAUGAGGGGAAGCAGCCGAGAGCUGGCGCAUGCCGAGAGCGCGCAGACCAGCGUGGCCUCGUUGGGUCUCGGUGGUGGCGCCACUCCGGCUCCGCCCGCCGCCAUCUCCCGGAACAACCGGAUUGCCGCCUCGGGGAGCCCGUUCACCAGAAACCCGUUGAUCAGCGUCGUCCAGGAGACCACGUCCCGGAGGCGCACGCGGUCGAAGAUCCUCUUGGCGGAGCCGACGUCUCCGUUCUUGCAGAGCGAGUCCAGCAUGGCGUUGCAGGAGGCGACAUCCGGGCGGGGGUUCUCGUCGAACACCUUCCGGGCGGCGGUGACGUCCCCCGACUGCGCGUAGAGCUUCACCAUGCCGCUGUUGACGAAGUUGUCGGCCACGAGUCCGCGGCGAACGAGCUGGGCGUGGAGGACUCUGCCGUUGGAAACUCCCGGUGACGAGGUGAUCGACUUGACGAGGGGCGGGAAGGUGUAGACGUUGGGGUGGGUCUGCUGGGCGAGCAUCUGGGUGAACAGGCGGAGGGCGGUGCCGCCGCCGUCGGGCCGUCCCUCCCCGAGGAGCGACCCAGCGAUCAAGAUGUUGUACACGAACACGGGCACCCCUCCGUCUCCCCCAUCCGGCAACGGCGACGGAUGGAAGAAGAAGCCGGUGGUGACGAGGAGCGCGUGAACUUGGUCGAGCUGCGCCGGACGCUUCCGGUACUUGUAGAGGAGCCGCGCCAAAGCCUUGAGCGACGUCGACAUGCAGCCCCGCCGCCCCUCAGUCCGACACAGCACGAGGCCAUGAGAAGCCCAGGCGGCGCCGCCGUCCCAGUGGAAGACCCGGAGAGUAACGAGUCAGCCCGGGUUCUAUUCGGCGUAAACGGGCUGCUAGUUCCACGAGCCCACUAUGGGCAAAGCUGCAGCACCGGACCCCUUCCUCCGCUCUCCAAACCCCAUCAUAUGAAUAAUAAUAAUAAUAAUAAUAAUCGUAGUAGCAAACUUGACACGUUCAUGAAAAUAUGUCGACCCACGAUGGGAAAGCGGAAAGGUUGCAUUUUUUUUCAGCGUGUGGUGGUGCGAAAGUGUUAUUUUUAUCAAGAUACGGAUUCCGCACUGGGCACUCCGAAUUAAAAUAUUUCCCUUUUCAUCGCCCAGAGCUUUCGAGUGAUCUGGCGGCUCAUGUAGAACAUUGAUGGGGGAGAGAGGGGGCGGGCGCGGUCUGUCGCUGGAGCCCAGCGGCCGGCGGGGCGCGGAUCGGCCUGAGGUGGACUCGCGAACCACCACCCCGCCGGGCGGACCCCCCUGGCUCGGGAUCCCUCUCCGGAAAGAGGCCAUCCGACGGUGCACUCUUGGCCCGCUCAUCACCAUUUAUUUAAUGGCUUAGCCUUCUGGCCUUUUAGUCAGAGGCCCGCGUCGGUGCGUCGUCCACCCGGAAGGCGGCCCCAAGAAUUUUAUAUCUGUUCCGACCCUUCGGGACCGAACAAGAAAAAACUUAAUGCCCGAUAAAUAUCACGCUCAGAAACGAAAUUUAGGGGGCGAAAGGCUCAUUAUCUUUUAACAUAUGAGAUUAGGAAGUGGAAGGGGAAGCCCUCCCUCCUCAUGGCACAAAAUUUUUCAAAUAUUUUCUGCUGAAAAUUAGAUAAUUCGGAGGGGGGGUGAUAAACGAAAUAAGUGCUCGAUUGAAUGGGUGGUUGAUUGCUCGUGUUUUUUUCGACAUGGUGCUUCUUUUUAUGAUUAUAUAGCUGGAGACAUCUCACGUACGGUCGGUGCCCGUCGAUCUACGUGGUCACCCUGUCAUCUCGUCAAAGGAAAGUCAACCCAUCUCUCUCUCUAUCUCUAUCUCUAUCUCUGUCUCUCUAUCUAUCUUUCGCAGAAUACGGAGAGGAAGAGGCAGGAAAGGAAGAUACGGAGAUUCCUCUCCGGGAAGGGCACGUUUAUUUUGGAAGGUACGAGUCUUCGGCGGGUGAGGCGUGCCUUUCUCGGCGGGGGAGCUUCUUCGUCCACGGCCGGGGAGGUGGGGGGCGGUCUGCGGCGAUGAGAGUGACGGGCGGGGGUUCGCUCGUCAACAAACAUAUGGAAAGCACGCGAGGGACCGCGGGGGGAGCGUCGGUGAAGACGACGGCUUCUCGUAAACUGCUUCAUCUCUAUAAUGGAUGUAGAUUUUGCAACGGAGUUUAUAUGGCAACUCUUUCUUCUUUUAUCGCCGAAAGAGACAGACGGGGAGCUAGAGAGACGUGGGUUUUGAUUCACAUGGCGAUCUUUUUUAAUGGGUUCAAGGCAAACCACCCUCUCUCUCUCUCUCUCUCUCUCNNNNNNNNNNNNNNNNNNNNNNNNNNNNNNNNNNNNNNNNNNNNNNNNNNNNNNNNNNNNNNNNNNNNNNNNNNNNNNNNNNNNNNNNNNNNNNNNNNNNNNNNNNNNNNNNNNNNNNNNNNNNNNNNNNNNNNNNNNNNNNNNNNNNNNNNNNNNNNNNNNNNNNNNNNNNNNNNNNNNNNNNNNNNNNNNNNNNNNNNNNNNNNNNNNNNNNNNNNNNNNNNNNNNNNNNNNNNNNNNNNNNNNNNNNNNNNNNNNNNNNNNNNNNNNNNNNNNNNNNNNNNNNNNNNNNNNNNNNNNNNNNNNNNNNNNNNNNNNNNNNNNNNNNNNNNNNNNNNNNNNNNNNNNNNNNNNNNNNNNNNNNNNNNNNNNNNNNNNNNNNNNNNNNNNNNNNNNNNNNNNNNNNNNNNNNNNNNNNNNNNNNNNNNNNNNNNNNNNNNNNNNNNNNNNNNNNNNNNNNNNNNNNNNNNNNNNNNNNNNNNNNNNNNNNNNNNNNNNNNNNNNNNNNNNNNNNNNNNNNNNNNNNNNNNNNNNNNNNNNNNNNNNNNNNNNNNNNNNNNNACCUCCUCUCUCUCUCUCUCUCUCUCUCUCUCUCUCUCUCUCAAAAAUACAGGAUGGUGGAGGUGAGAUGGUCACCAUGCAGGAGGAGGAGUGGCCAGGGUGUCUACGAAUAGGCUCGAUGAGGAUCGGCGAACCGAUCGACGGGGUGGGGGGAACUGUUGCGGUGUCGCCGUCACGCCAAACAGAAGUGGCCGCGGAUUUGUCUGCUCGGACUUCGCCAUCUCCCCCCCGCAACCUCACACCGACGAGGAAACAAGAAGAAGAAGAAUAAGGAGAGCGAGUGAAGACAGAGACACAAAAUUACGUGAAUGUUUGGUGUGCCCCCCCCUCCUCUCUCUCUCUCUCUCCCUCCCUCCCUCCCUCCCUCCCUCCCUCCCUCUCCGUCUCAGAGCCUUCAAAAGCUGAAGGCGGGGAGGGUAGGACGACUGGGACUCCCCUGCUGAGCGCAGACAGCAGAACCCCUGCACCCUCUCGUGCUCCGCCUUGAGCAGGUAGGGUUCCCAAGCGUGGCGUGCCGGAGGUUAUGGGAGAGGCACGGUGGGCUUCUGCAAUGAUGACGAAGAGUUCGACGAGGCUGGCCGCCUGGAUCCUGCUCCUGCCGCUGGUCUACGCCGCGCUGCUCAACCUCAGCGUCUCGCCGCCGCACACCUGUACGUUACCAUCAAAACUCCGUCUUCCUCCGUUCUCUUCGCUCUUGCACAAUGAAUGAACUUAACUGAGACGUCGCCGUUUUCCCCUGCCGACGCGAAGGGAAGCUCCAGCUGCCGCCUUGGGUGCCGUUCAGCUUCUGGGCCAAAGACAGUGACCUGGAGCACGCGAAGAUGGCCAUGGCGAGGCUGCUGCCAGGUCUCCUCCUCCGCCAUUGAUACCAUCACGUAGUCAUCAUAGACCAGGACGAAGAGCGCAAGCAUGCAGAUUGAUGCAGAACCCUAAAUGGGCGGGUUCGCAUCCUCCUCAUGGCCCCCUCUCCUCCGAUGGUCGGGCCGUCCCUCCGGCGGCGGACGCCGGAAAGGCGGCCGCCGUUGGGCCUCUUCUUCGCACGUCCCCAUCGAAACCGACCGACCGAGCGAGCACUGACCAGAAAGAAUUCCCCACCUGGAGAGGAGGGCGACCGAGCCACCCGUUUCUUGCCUUCUCUCUCUAGGUCUAAAAGUAGAGAGAUUUUAAGGGGAAGCGGGCACGAGGUCUACGUGAGAAGAAAUGAGAGCGGGCCCGCCAAGUGUCUGCAUGACGAUGAGUUUGACUGCGACCUGAAAUCUUCCGACAGGACCCGCGCGCAGGGAGCUGAGCGAGAACCGUGUGGCCUGCGUCUCCGACCCCAGAUCCGACUUCUGCGUCACGACCGGCGGCGUUCGGAUCGCCGCCGGUCCCUCCCGCUCCCCCACCGUCUACCUCGCCGGAGGCCAGCAGCUCGCCGGCGGCCGGCGAACACUCCAGCCUUACCCGAGGAAGACCGACAAGACGGCGAUGUCGCGCACGGCGCCGGUCGAGAUCAUUGGCGGCGAGGCGGCGACGGUGCCGCCGCCCUGCGACGUGACCCACACCGCCCCCGCUGUCGUCUUCUCCACCGGCGGCUUCGCCGGCAACUUUUUCCACGACGUGAGCGAGGUGCUCAUCCCCCUGUUCCUCACCGCCGGGCAGCUACGCCACGUCCAACUCGUCGCCAGCGACUACGAAUCCUUCUGGGUGACAAGGUACCGCUGGAUCCUCGACUAUCUCGCCGGCGGCCCAGAGCAGGCGGGCGUCGUGGCAGCGGCCUCGCCGUCGUCCCCCGUCGAGCCCAUGGUGCACUGCUUCCCCGCGGCGGUGGUGGGCCUCAAGUACCACGGCCACCUCGCCUGCAACGCCACCGCGCCACCGGGCGGCGUCACCAUCUACGACUUCCGCCGCUUCCUCCGGGAGGCGCUGGCCCUCUCUCCCCCUCCUCCCAAUUCGCCGCCGCCGCCGGCCGAGGACCAGCGGCGGCCGCUGCUGGUGCUCCUCUCGCGGAGUACGUCGAGGGCGCUGCUGAACGAGGCAGCAGUGGCGGAGCUGGCGAGGGAGGUGGGGUUCCGCGUGGAGGUGGCGGCGCCGGAGGCCAUGGGCCGGCCGGAGGCGUUCUCCCGGGUGGUGGCGGGGGCGGCGGUGCUGGCGGGGGUGCACGGGGCGGGGCUGACGAACAUGGUGUUCCUGCGGGAGGGGGCAGUGGUGCUGCAGGUGGUGCCGUGGGGGCUGGACUGGUCGGCCAUGGCGUACUUCCGCGAGCCGGCGCAGGCGAUGGGGCUGCAGUACGUGGAGUACAAGGUGGCGGUGGAGGAGAGCACCCUCUCCGACGAGUACCCGCUGGACCACCCCGUGCUGACCGAUCCCUGGGCCAUCCACCGCCUCGGCUACAACGUCAGCGGCCCCAUCUACACCGACGGCCAGAAGGUCCGCCUGAACCUCACCAGGUUCAGGGAGUCCCUCCUCGAGGCCCUGCGGCGGCUCCCCCGCCCGGCUUGAAACUGCAAGGGGCGGAAGACGAACGAAGAAGACCAUGUUUUCCUUAUCGUAGGAGCUCAGUUAGUAAGGACCAGUUCGCUCAUCCUGCGGCGGCGGCGGCGGCGGCGGCGGCGGAGGGCUUCGGAGGAGGAAGGGAGAUCUCGAGCUCGUCGAGGGAGGGGGUGCCGCGGAUGGUGAGGCUGUGCUCGUUGGCGAGGUGGAGCAGGCAGAUGAAGGAGAGGUGUGGGGAGACGUCCUUGGCGUAGGCGCCGGCGCAGUUCUCCGAGAAGCAUCCCAGCACCUGCCUGAAGGACACGGCCGCGCCGUCCUCCACCCGCUGCUGCUGCUGCUGCUGCUGCUGCUGCUGCUGCUGCUGCUGCACACACAAAGAAUGGAGAGUUGUCACCUGUAAAACUUGGAGAAACGAAGAAUAAAGCACCACCAACUGCUUCAAAGACGAUCUUCGGGCCACCCGCCCUGAAGCCAUGAAUCCCCUUGAAACGCUCGUACGGUUGGUGAGGCAUGAAAUACAAACAAGACAGAAAGAAAGCUUGAUUUAACUCACCGUCUCCGCCGGCCUAUUAGAAUCUUUUAUAAUGCACCACAGUGUUUCUUUCAACGCGUGGACAUCCACUUUUUUGGAGGACUUGUCGUACUGAACCUCAAUCUUGUUCACCUGCAAACAUUUGAAGAUGGAACGUGGACACACAUAGAAAAGUGCCACAGACAGCCAACACCGAGGUGAGAUUCAUCCUAUGCCAAGGAAAAGACUACAAGAUCACAGCGAUGAGAAAGAUGAAGAAAUUUCUCUGAUCAACCAUGCUGGUACGUCAUUUUAAACCGCACCCAAUUAGCAAUUUUAUAAGUGGAAUGCUUAACCAAGGGCAUGACAUUAACCAAAAUUUACGAGAAAAAGAGAGGCCAAUCGGUGCCAUAUAUGGUCGAACUCAGUAUAAUUUUCAAAACUCCGUAAGUUGAACCCGGUUAUUCGUACCAUCUUCCCAAUAAAGUUUCCUUUCCUAUACUUAGACGGAAGCUUUGAUUCAUCUUGCAUGCUCAGGCAAAUAAACCAAGAUGCCUCAUAAAUAUAAGAGAAUAAGAGGCAAGAUCAAAGCAAAGUGAUGAAAGGCAACGCGACCGAACAAACCUGACGUGGCUGAGAGACAAGGCUUCCUGGUUCAUCUAAAUCAUUAAGCAUAUUCUCAUCAUCAUAGUAAUCCUUUGCAACACUCUCAUUGUCCCAAGAUGCCGUUGACUCAUAGGGCUGGUUCCGUUGCAACAAUUCGUCUAAAAAGAAAAAAGAUAACAGCUGGAUUGUCAGACAUUCGUCACUAACUGCGGACUAGUUCAUGCCUAAUAACAGAAUGGAAGAUAGUUUUAGUUCUGAAUAUCAGAAAAAACACGGAGACAAUGAAAAAAAAUAAUUACCGACAAGAAAGGCUACAAUAUGUAUGCACUAGACAAUUGUUAAAGAUUUGAUUGAUGACUACAUCAAUUUACCAAAGCAGUGAAGGGAGCAAUUUAGAACAAACAGAACCCACAUGUCGGCAGGGAGAUUGGUAACCAAUAUCAUAAAUUCAUGAAGAAUAUACUCAAAGGCGCAUUAGCAGUAAAGGUUUAUGCCGUUGACGGCUGGAAAAUAAAAAAUAUAAUCUCAAACAACAUCGUUUUCAUCAGAUAAGUUGGUUUCUUGAUGUGCACCAUUUGAACCAACAAAGGAUUCAUAAAGAUACACCAAUGAAAUGUCUCAGGAAAUGUAGGUUUACCGCAUCUAAUAAAACUUUAUAUUUUCAGAGUAUUUGAGGUAUUAAUAAUAGGCAGCAUCAGAACAAGACAUUUGAAAGCAGAGAAAGAAAACUCUGGUCCUGCCCGGCCGGACUUGGGCACUGUCCGGGUCCAGCCCAGAAAUUCCCCCACUGCUUCCGCCAGCACUCACCCCAACCUCUGAAAACCUCACACCGGUUCAGUUCUCAGGGUUCCAAAUCAGAUUCUGAGUCAGAGUCAACCGAUCAUUUAUAGAAAAUUUCUUGAAGGAGAGACCCAAUUACAGCGUCUGCAAUGUUACACAUGGAAGAACGAGUGCAAGAUUGUAUGAAGAUUCCUUUCGAGUAUCGAGAUAAUCUACUAAAAAAAAAACUUAUCUUUCUUUUAACUGAUUUACUAAUCGCACUAUUCAGCGAUAAUGAAGUUAAACGAUGAAGGAAGAAAUUACCUUUAAAAUUUGCAUCUGAAAUGCAAAGGGAAAGAAGGAACAAUUACUAUUCAUGGUCAAGCACCGCACAGCAUUUUCACAAAUGUUCAAGGUUUCCACUAGCUUGGUAGACGUGCUAUUAAUUUAUCAAAACAUUUAGCAACUGACAUUUAUCACCUAAACAUAAAAGAGAAAUAAACUGAGCCCAGAGUUAUAAAUAUAUCUUCAAUUGAAGUUCUCGUUGGUCAUAAACCAAAUCGUCCACCUUGACAAAGCUGUCACAUAAGCUACACGCCACUUAUCACCUGACAAAACCUGACGUGCAUAUUUAUCUGUUUGGCCAAUAUGUUUACCAUUCUGUAGCCACCCCGAAUCUAAGGAAAACAAAGCAUGAGAGCCAGAGUAAACCAAAUCAUAACGAUACCACAACUAGUAGACUACUACAAGUCACACCAUCAGAUCAUAGCAAUAAUCAGAUUGAAAGUGACUCAAUAGGAGGGGGAAAAUGAUAACGAAACAGUUAUUACGGAAUAAAGAAAGGUACAGGCAAAAGGAAAGGUAAAAGGUGGUUACUAUACUGACAAAAAUUAUACAUUGAUGUGGACUAAGAACGGAAGACGAGGACGUUAAAUCACAAUAGAAAAGUUUCAAUACACAUGAGCCUAGGAUUGAAGGGAAAUCCACUAGAAUGCUGCUUGCAGUAUUUUUGGAUUUAGAAAAUUAUCACGUGGGCAAGGUACCAAUACUUAUAUAUCAGUCCAUCAAGGCAUAAUAAAAUCACAUCUCUAAUCAAAUCAUGCCUACUUUUCCACACCUUUACGCCAAAUAAUACUGCAACUAAUGUAACUGUAUGAAUUCAUUAAAAAAUUCCAUGUGAAUCUUUUAAAAGUUAAAGAUUGUACAAUCAUGUACACGAGCCUAAAGGAAUAGAUUGUUUUACGUGACUAGGCGAAGUGGAGGGACUUGAAAUUUAUUAAGAGGGAAAAAAUGACGUUUGACCAGUCUUAUAUGUCACUAAAAAAAGUAAACGAAAUGAACCAACAUCAGCAGGAUUCUAUAAUCGGUAUUAUAAAUCAUAAAUUUUUAAAGAAUAGUUAACUUACCAGCAGAUUUCCUCAGCUUCUUUCCGAGGCACUGCACAGAUGAAGACAUUCGCUGUCAUUCAACACCAAACAGAGGCAGGAAUCCAAGAAUCAGCGGCACCAUGGCUUACCAAAACAUCAGGACGAAGUAGCAACUUGACAAGGUUCUGUGCUUGAUAAUGGCAAUCCUCUGGUAAUGUAAUACUACACGAACCUCUGUUCGGAGGAAGCAGUAUUGACCUUCGACUUCUAGGAGGAGCAAAGAUGUCGGAAAUCUCCUUAUCAAGUGCCUUAGUAAAAUCAAUAUCAUACGCUUCUUGUUUUUUUUUCUUUACGUUCCUCUUGAUUAAAAAUGAUUCACCAUCAGAAGCAGGAAUCUCAUCUGGAACUACAAAAUUAAUACUGAGAUGAAUGUCUGUAUACACAUAAUCAGAAAAUAGUGAGAUUUUUCAUGCAUAACUUCAGUUCUACCUUUAAUCUUCCGAUACUUCCAGUGAUCAGGACCAGCCCAUGCAUUUGUUUUCGGUGCAAAGCCUAGACCUAGAGCUAAAAAUCCAGCGAUCCUUUCAAAUUUAGGGUCUGCAUCCAGCUCAUGUAAAGUGAAGCUAUUGUUUUCCUGUAGGAAGAAGAGUAUACUUGAAAUACAUGAAUUCAUAAUAAAUAAAUAAAAGUAAACCAUAGAAAAUGACAGUGCGGGUGUACCUCUGGAUCGCCAGCAAAAUUUGCAGCCGUGUAGGAUGAACAUUCAUCGACCACACUACCCUGUUCAUCAUUAUCAAAGCCACAAGCCUCACAGUCAUCAAAUGUGUUACUCUCAAUCUCAUUUUUAAUACUCUCGAACCCAUUCUCAGUACUCUCAAUCCCCUUUUCGUUACCCUCAAAGCCAUGCUUAUUACUCUCUCCCACAUCAUCUCGCCUGUCUGUUCUCUGUGUUGCCACAUAAAUAUCUGUUGGCCUCCGAUUAUCUUCGUCAAACAGACUUAUGAUCUCCCUUAAGGUUGGUGAAAUAUCCUUCUGCAUAGCUAUCGAUGUCAUCAUCUGUGCAAUGCAAUCUAUGAAAAAGGAAUAAAGACACAUGAAAUCCCGACAUAAUCUUAAAUUGGACAUAGAAACAAAACUUCGGCAUUAAGAAAAACGAUGCAUACCUCUGGCGAAGGAAAGGUCAAUGAAGUCUGACUUGUCGGCCUGUAACUUGGAGCACGUAACAUUUGUGGGCGACUCCAAUGAAUCAAAAAGUACUUGACAGUCACCAUAGACCCCAAGGUUAUUCAACAGGAGACCUUUAGCUCCACCUUCAUCAAACUUUGCAGAUGUUUGAUGAUAAAGAGGAUCAACGGUGAAGGCCACUGGAAUUUUAGAUGUAUCAUCAAAAAACUUAACAAAAUAGGAGAGUUGCUUCUAUAAAGAGAGAUGGAUAAGUUACCAUCAAAUUUCUUCACGUUAAGAGCAUCAAAUGAAGAUUCCAACGUCGACAAAGGUGACAUCUGCAUGCAACCGCAUCUGAUAUAGGGACCAAACAUUGCACAGAGCAAAUGAAUCAUUCUGAAUGCUCUAAAAAAACACUCACCUUUCUGUCUGUUCCUUUCUUUUGGUUACCUUCCUGACUGAUCCCCAUACUGUCAACUUCUGGUAUGUUUUCUGAACAGAGGUUUUUUAAUAUUAUCAGCUUCCAAGGUACAAAACAGAAAAUAUUGGCCUAAAAUAAAAAAAUCCAUAAGCUUUUACAUAUGGGUAAAACACAAGGAACAACAUAAAACAAUUCAUGAAACAAAAGUUAUAAUUAUGCACAACAUUUUUUUCUCAGAAAACCUGUGUAAUACGUAGCCAUCACUUAUGUAUAAAAAAUUCUGAAGUAUCAUUAAAUUUCGUUAUUAAUGACAAACGAAUGACCGCAGGCAUGUCUUCUCAUAGACAGUUUCAACAUGUAGCAUGAGUCAAUGAAUAUUAUCACCUAAGUUUUCAGAAGGCAUAAUCCUAAAUUGACAUAACAGGGCAUGUGAUAUUAUCAUCAUCUAAUGUUUUUUACAUUUGAAUGAUAUCAAGUUUACUGAAGCCAACAUCUUACAUUGGAAUAAGCAGUCGCACAAAAUUCUCCUCAACGUAAUCUAGAAUGAAACAGCAUCGAGAUUACAUGGCAGUCAGGCUUCAUCUUUUCCUUUAAGAACCUUAAGAAACAACUAAAUCACUAGAAAAGCAGCCUGCUUCAUCCAGUCAGAAAGUAGUCCAGACUCCCAUGUGGAGACUACCUGUUUUAGCAAAACCAAUUGGAUUUCAGGUAUGCAAUUCUAGUCUACACAUGUAACAUCCUAAAUGACCAUGUUCACGUUAAAGUUUUGAUUUCCAAAUCUGAUGCAACCAAUGAUUUUUAAAAGCACCAGGAUUCUCGCAGCUCUUCUCCAACACAAGGAAUGGUAGAGUCAUUCUUGCUAAUAAGCCCAAGAAGCAGAAGUGGAACAUGGCAAGGCCUCCACUUCUGCACAUUAAAGGGAAACCAUGAAAGAUUUCAAAUGCUAAAAGCACUUGCAGCACGCUUUUCAAUCUAGUGCCUCCAGUACAUUGCACAAUUUAAAAUCUAGCUUUCAAAUUUAUCUACCUCAGAAUCCAACUCAUGGAAUAGGAGAUGGUUCUCGAAAGGAAUGCAACAAUGUGCCGCAGAAGCCUACUUUAGUUCACAUAUAUGCCCAUGAACAACAGUAUCUGGCCAGCAUUUCCCUUUCAGAUCCAUCAGAACCUUUCCCUGUUCAUCAAAAUAUCUAAGACAUCCAACCAAAACCAAGUCAUCGAAGAUGACUCGUACACUUAAACACUCCUUUAGAAUGGAGCUUGAUUCUUAUAAUCUCAACUUAAUCUACAGAAUAUCACACCGCCAAAAGAAAGUGAAGGAAAAAGUUGGAAGGAUUAUCAAAAUUAUUGGAUUAUCCAUUGUCCCCAAUAUAUAUUGAAUGGUUAUCCAUACACAUAACGUAGGCAAUACAAGGCAUAGUAGCCCGACAUAGAUCAAAUGGGAAGGUAUGACCUUUGUCAUCAUCUCUCCCUGCACGGUUGAUACCACCGAGGACUUUGUAUGCCUCUGAAUGCACUGAAUCUACCCGCAAGGAAUAGAUCUUGACCCCUGCUUCCAAAGUGCAGCUUGCCUUCAUCAAAUGAAGAAACAUAAAAAAAAUAAGGAAAAAAAUUAUGAACUGAAAUAAGAACUGACAAAGAUAUAAAACCUUGAUAACCAGAACCUUUUGAAAGUUGGUCUCUGCAUCGUCAUCUGAUUCAACCUUGAUAAUCUCGCUAAGGUGGUCAAUGAGGUUCAGCUCCCAUGUGUUCUUCUGAUUUAUUUUCUGCACAUUGACAAAAAACGAAACGUGAAUAAGAACACAGGACAAAGGGAGAACCCAUUAGACCAAUGCGUUCGAGAAUAGGGGCAUAAAAGGUGAGGAAAUCGUAAGAAUUGUCCCGGCGCAUGGACAAGCAUAUGGCAGCUCGAGCAAUGCUCUUUAAAGUAAAUACGACAAUCAGAUUGCCUCAUGGUGGCACAAGCAGGUGUAGAAGAAAGUAGGGCUGAUCCAUGAAAACUUUAUGAUUGCAUUUACGGGUCAGUUGUUGUACUGAAAUACAAAUACCUUAAAUAAACAGAUAGAAAUAUAAAGAAAGAGCAAGCUAAAUUAAGAUUGAGUUAAGCACGAAGAAAAUGGGUCAGAUUCUAAAGAUCAAAACUAUAGGACUUGAGGAAUGAUGGAAGGGAAUAAAGAAAAGAGGUGAAAAGACAAAAAAAAGUAAAUCCCAACCACUCGUUCUCAGCACCAGCAUUCUUUAACCAAGAAUUAGGCAGAAAAAGUGGGAGAGUUCUCCGCUCUGAUUCUCCUGUAGCUGGAUUCUCCGGAACCACAAGAAUCCUUAUAAAUUUUGGCUUUCAUCAGGGAAGAUGAGGGAUUACGCACAACCAGAGAUGGGGAGUGGAUCCAUUAAUAUCCCAUGAGAAUAAGUCACAUUGAGAUCCCAUGAUACAUUGUAUACUCUGAGGUUAUCGAUAAUACUCAAUGCAUUUGUUCUGAUAUCCUAUCAAAGUAUGGCGUAGCCCAACUCAAAACAAAUUCGGAUCCCUUCAUUUUCCACGUUUACUCAUCAAGCGGUGUGAUUCUCUCUACAUGCUGGAGCUAAGCAGCAAGCACAUGAACUUAACCACAGCCUUUUCUUCUCCCUAAAAAUUCGGUAGUAUUCUAACACAACCCCGAGCAACAAAUGGUUGAGAAAGAAGAACGACGCAUAUGAUUGCUAAAGGUUGGAGGGAAAUUUUGAAAGGUGCAUUAUCAUCGAAGAGCUUGAUCCUGUAAGAAUAAAAAAAGGGUAUGCAUACAGAUAGAUGCUUCUGGAGCAUAAGAGAAAUUUUGAACUAGAAUCAGUGAUAAGAAAAGUCAGGAAAUUUGGAGGCGAAAAUUCUGAAUUCAGUAAGGAAUUUCUACUACAGACAGAGGGAGUAUCCAAGGUCUGAAGAUCAAGCGGCGUUGAAAACACUUGUCCCUGUCAGAAAGCGAUUCAGACAGAACCGGAACAAAAAAACACAAUUACAGACCAGAAGCAAGAAAUCAGGGAUCAUAGCAUGGGAAGAAGACAAAAGAUAAAGAAGAUUGGUUACAUUCUCGCUGGCAAGCUUGAUACAGUUGUGGAAGAGCUCCGUGAUCUGCUCCUUCCCGAGGACGUCCGAUCUCGGGUGAGCGUCGAUGCCAUGGGUAACGGCAACGAUGGGCUUCCGCCUUAUGGCAGCGGCACGGGCAGCCCGGGCCUGGGCGCGCUCGAGCUGGUCGUCGUUGGACCCGAGGAAGUGAAGCGCGUUCUGGUGGACGGCCGCCGACGCCGACACCGGCGACUUGAGCAGCCGCGCCGCCGCCCUUCUCGGCGACAACAAUUGCUCGUCCUCCACCUCGCCGAAGCCCUCCGUCAUGGCCUCGUCGCGGGCGAAAUGGGGCGAGUGCAAGAUCUGAGGCUCCCCUCUCCCUCUCUCUCUCUCUCUCUCUCGCUCUCCCGCUCCCCCCCUCCCCAAACCCAGGGAAGCCCUUCGCGCGACGGGCACACCCCCUUGCCUCUUGUCCCGCCCUGGGAAGUCUUUUGAAUUUCGUGAAGGGACUUUUGCAAAAAGGCCCCUAACCGAAAUAUACAUGGACGGUAGGGACCUUCAGAGGUGCACUUUCACACGCCCCACCGUCUCAAGGGUCAGACAACAAGACUCGAGAUCCCAAGGGAGCCAUCUCGAAAUAUGAAAGAUCCACGCCGCCCAUCCGCGAACCCUCCCGGCUCUAAUGGGCCGGCCCCUCGGCCCGCUUAAGCGCGGGCCCAAUUCACCCCCCAUUAACACUUAAAAAUACCGUUUUUAUAUCCUCUCGAACCAUAUUCCUACAUCGAUUCGUUCAUUCAAAUUCCAUCACGGAGGAACAGACCCAGAAUGGCCACGUCCCGGAGCCGACUGGGCCAAGAAGGAGAUGAGGAGAUCCACGUGGCAGAGCACCCCAAAAGAGAAAAAUAGAGAAAAAAGAAGAAAAAAGGAAAAAAGAAGAAG
This 16617-nucleotide long non-coding RNA is filed under the name Spirodela polyrhiza (greater duckweed). RNAcentral's name for it is "long non-coding RNA (SPOL_LNC002610)". Lineage: Eukaryota; Viridiplantae; Streptophyta; Magnoliopsida; Alismatales; Araceae. The record is from RNAcentral.